GCGCUCCGCCGCUCCGCACGCGAGGGGCGCAUGCCGCUGCUCGGCGUAGGUGAUGCAAACUCCUUCCUCUACACCACCAAUCGCAAAUCCGACGCUCUCAAGGUCAAUGAGAGGAUUAGCUUCAUGCUUUGGCAGAAGGCGGGACACCACGCUGCCGCUUAUGACACUUGGUCAGAAUCGGUGCUGGUAAAUUCGUUGUCUCACCAGACCGUAGCGCAGCAAGCAGGACAAUGGGAUCCCCGUUCUCUUGUUGACCCGAUGGCCAGCUCCCCCUCCUCCCAAAUUUAGCGACCGCCACCGCUGAUCGAUGCAGGGUCGCAGGAAAUGCACCUUCCUUUACUACACCCUAACGAUUUGGGAGGUAUGAAGCGCCGAUCCAAGCAGUGCAAAUCAGAGUUAGAGCGGCGCUGGGGAAGCACGCAUUAUGUGCGGCGGAAGGUACAAAAGAGGAGCAGAUUUUCUCCACCUACUCGGAGUAUUUGACUACCAGCUUGGCGUCCUAGCUCAUUAUCAGCAAUAAGCCAUUUGAGAGUGAGUGUCGCUGGAUGACAUCACCAUGCUAUCAGGUUUGCCCCGAGACGAAUUGCCAAAGUUUUCAGCAGAAAAAAUAUCACUAAAGGUGACCUCUUCUCCUUUUCCGUUAAUCUUUUAUCUUCGUUUGGCUAGACAAAUAUUAGUGCCCAACUGUUACACAUGCAGCAAUCGUGUGUCAUUCCAUAGACAAAAAAAGAACGGGAGUGACCUUCCAAGCUUACUUUGAGGACUACUUAUUUAUGCCAUAUUCAGAAGACAGAACAGUACAUUUACAGUGAUCAAACGAAUGAUAACUACAUGCUAUCUGAUGGCCACAGUGAUGGGUAGUGAACACCGCUGAAAAAUUGCAAUAUCCACAACUUUCAGUCCGCGGGCUAUAUAAAUUAAGUUGCAGAAACUGAACACCACUAAGCUAUGUGAUGGCCACAGUGAUGGGUAGUGAACACCGCUGAUAAAUUGCAAUAUCCACAACUUUCAGUCACGCGGGCUAUAUAAAUUAAGUUGCAGAAACUGAACACCACUGAGGCAGAAGGAAGUAAAGAGAAGACUAAAGGAAAAGAAGAAAUUACCGCCGCAGCCCCGUCAGGAACCUCCUCCGAGACUCGGCAUCAAAGAGUAAAGGAGAGACACGAGCUCGCCCACGCCGAUGACCUGAUCCCUGGCCUACACCUUGGACAGGUUGCAUGACAGGCAAACCAGCAUGAGGCAAAGCAGCAGCCCCAGAAGGUCGACGAUCACAGCCAGCAGAAG
This is a long non-coding RNA of Lolium rigidum, 1284 nucleotides long. RefSeq lists it as uncharacterized. The record is from RefSeq and is a predicted model, not a curated record. The transcript is spliced from 5 exons. Lineage: Eukaryota; Viridiplantae; Streptophyta; Magnoliopsida; Poales; Poaceae.